GGUUAAGCGAAUAAGCGUACACGGUGGAUGCCUAGGCAAUCAGAGGCGAUGAAGGACGUGCUAAUCUGCGAAAAGCGUCGGUAAGGUGAUAUGAACCGUUAUACCCGACGAUAUCCGAAUGGGGAAACCCAGUAUCCAAUGGAUACUAUCAUUAACUGAAUCCAUAGGUUAAUGAGGCGAACCGGGAGAACUGAAACAUCUCAGUACCCCGAGGAAAAGAAAUCAACCGAGAUUCCCCUAGUAGCGGCGAGCGAACGGGGAGCAGCCCAGAGUCUUAAUCAAUAACAGUGUCAGGAGAACGGUCUGGAAAGUCCGGCAGUAAAGGGUGAUAGCCCCGUAUCUGAAGAUGCUGUUGUUGUGAACUCGACGAGUAGGGCGGGACACGUGUUAUCCUGUCUGAAUAUGGGGGGACCAUCCUCCAAGGCUAAAUACUCCUGAUUGACCGAUAGUGAACCAGUACCGUGAGGGAAAGGCGAAAAGAACCCCGGCGAGGGGAGUGAAAAAGAACCUGAAACCGUGUACGUACAAGCAGUAGGAGCCUCUUUAUGGGGUGACUGCGUACCUUUUGUAUAAUGGGUCAGCGACUUAUAUUCUGUAGCAAGGUUAACCGUAUAGGGGAGCCGUAGGGAAACCGAGUCUUAACUGGGCGAAUGAGUUGCAGGGUAUAGACCCGAAACCCGGUGAUCUAUCCAUGGGCAGGUUGAAGGUUGGGUAACACUAACUGGAGGACCGAACCGACUAAUGUUGAAAAAUUAGCGGAUGACUUGUGGAUGGGGGUGAAAGGCCAAUCAAACCGGGAGAUAGCUGGUUCUCCCCGAAAGCUAUUUAGGUAGCGCCUCGUGAACUCAUCUUCGGGGGUAGAGCACUGUUUCGACUAGGGGGUCAUCCCGACUUACCAACUCGAUGCAAACUGCGAAUACCGAAGAAUGUUAUCACGGGAGACACACGGCGGGUGCUAACGUCCGUCGUGAAGAGGGAAACAACCCAGACCGCCAGCUAAGGUCCCAAAGUCAUGGUUAAGUGGGAAACGAAGUGGGAAGGCUCAGACAGCCAGGAUGUUGGCUUAGAAGCAGCCAUCAUUUAAAGAAAGCGUAAUAGCUCACUGGUCGAGUCGGCCCGCGCGGAAGAUGUAACGGGGCUAAACCAUGCACCGAAGCUGCGGCAGCGACACAUAGUGUUGUUGGGUAGGGGAGCGUUCUGUAAGCCUGCGAAGGUGUACUGUGAGGUAUGCUGGAGGUAUCAGAAGUGCGAAUGCUGACAUAAGUAACGAUAAUGCGGGUGAAAAACCCGCACGCCGGAAGACCAAGGGUUCCUGUCCAACGUUAAUCGGGGCAGGGUGAGUCGACCCCUAAGGCGAGGCUGAAAAGCGUAGUCGAUGGGAAACGGGUUAAUAUUCCCGUACUGGUGGUAACUGCGAUGGGGGAACGGAGAAGGCUAGGUUGUCCGGGCGACGGUCGUCCCGGUUCAAGCAGGUAGGCAGAGUGAUUAGGCAAAUCCGGUCACUUAAUGCUGAGAUGUGAUGACGAACCACCAAGGUGGUGAAGCAAUUGAUGCCCCGCUUCCAGGAAAAGCCUCUAAGCUUCAGGUUACCAACAAUCGUACCCCAAACCGACACAGGUGGUCAGGUAGAGAAUACUCAGGCGCUUGAGAGAACUCGGGUGAAGGAACUAGGCAAAAUGGUGCCGUAACUUCGGGAGAAGGCACGCUGGCGGUAGGUAAAGUCCCUCGCGGACGGCGCUGAAGCCAGUCGAAGAUACCAGCUGGCUGCAACUGUUUAUUAAAAACACAGCACUGUGCAAACACGAAAGUGGACGUAUACGGUGUGACGCCUGCCCGGUGCUGGAAGGUUAAUUGAUGGGGUCAGCCGUAAGGCGAAGCUCCUGAUCGAAGCCCCAGUAAACGGCGGCCGUAACUAUAACGGUCCUAAGGUAGCGAAAUUCCUUGUCGGGUAAGUUCCGACCUGCACGAAUGGCGUAAUGAUGGCCAGGCUGUCUCCACCCGAGACUCAGUGAAAUUGAACUCGCUGUGAAGAUGCAGUGUACCCGCGGCAAGACGGAAAGACCCCGUGAACCUUUACUAUAGCUUGACACUGAACAUUGAGCCUUGAUGUGUAGGAUAGGUGGGAGGCUUUGAAGUGUGGACGCCAGUCUGCAUGGAGCCAACCUUGAAAUACCACCCUUUAACGUUUGAUGUUCUAACCUAGGCCCAUAAACUGGGUCGGGGACCGUGUCUGGUGGGUAGUUUGACUGGGGCGGUCUCCUCCUAAAGAGUAACGGAGGAGCACGAAGGUUGGCUAAGCAUGGUCGGACAUCAUGCGGUUAGUGCAAAGGCAUAAGCCAGCUUGACUGCGAGAGUGACGGCUCGAGCAGGUACGAAAGUAGGUCUUAGUGAUCCGGUGGUUCUGAAUGGAAGGGCCAUCGCUCAACGGAUAAAAGGUACUCCGGGGAUAACAGGCUGAUACCGCCCAAGAGUUCAUAUCGACGGCGGUGUUUGGCACCUCGAUGUCGGCUCAUCACAUCCUGGGGCUGAAGUAGGUCCCAAGGGUAUGGCUGUUCGCCAUUUAAAGUGGUACGCGAGCUGGGUUUAGAACGUCGUGAGACAGUUCGGUCCCUAUCUGCCGUGGGCGUUGGAAGAUUGAGAGGGGUUGCUCCUAGUACGAGAGGACCGGAGUGAACGCACCACUGGUGUUCGGGUUGUCAUGCCAAUGGCAUUGCCCGGUAGCUAAGUGCGGAAGAGAUAACCGCUGAAAGCAUCUAAGCGGGAAACUUGCCUCGAGAUGAGUCUUCCCUGUCGCUUUAAGCGACCUAAAGGAACGUUUAAGACUAAGACGUUGAUAGGCUGGGUGUGUAAGCGUAGCGAUACGUUGAGCUAACCAGUACUAAUGAACCGUGAGGCUUAACCUG
This 2903-nucleotide ribosomal RNA is filed under the name Proteus mirabilis. RNAcentral describes it as "23S ribosomal RNA". It matches the Rfam family "Bacterial large subunit ribosomal RNA". The record is from RNAcentral. Lineage: Bacteria; Pseudomonadati; Pseudomonadota; Gammaproteobacteria; Enterobacterales; Morganellaceae.